GUUGAGUCGGGGCGAGGAGCCGAGGUAAUAGGUGGGGUGCAAGCGGUGAGCGGAUUUAUUGGUUUUAAAGGGUCCGUAGGCGGAUGUAGAAGUCAGUGGUGAAAGCCUGUCGCUUAAAGAUAGAACUGCCAGUGAUACUGUAAGUCUUGAGUAUAAUUGAGGUAGCUGGAAUAAGUAGUGUAGCGGUGAAAUGCAUAGAUAUUACUUAGAACACCAAUUGCGAAGGCAGGUUACCAAGGUAUAACUGACGCUGAGGGACGAAAGCGUGGGGAGCGAACAGGAUUAGAUACCCGGGUAGUC
Molecule: ribosomal RNA, 300 nt
Filed under: uncultured Methanosaeta sp.
Lineage: Archaea; Methanobacteriati; Methanobacteriota; Methanomicrobia; Methanotrichales; Methanotrichaceae
Description: bacterial SSU rRNA
Rfam family: Bacterial small subunit ribosomal RNA
Source: RNAcentral